GCCCUGGUAGUUUAGACGGUAAAGAAUCUGCCUACAGUGCAGGAGACCUGGGUUCGAUCCCUGGCUUGGGAA
RNAcentral lists this transfer RNA (72 nucleotides) under Ovis aries (sheep). It matches the Rfam family "tRNA". Rfam says of the family: Transfer RNA (tRNA) molecules are approximately 80 nucleotides in length. Their secondary structure includes four short double-helical elements and three loops (D, anti-codon, and T loops). Further hydrogen bonds mediate the characteristic L-shaped molecular structure. tRNAs have two regions of fundamental functional importance: the anti-codon, which is responsible for specific mRNA codon recognition, and the 3' end, to which the tRNAs corresponding amino acid is attached (by aminoacyl-tRNA synthetases). tRNAs cope with the degeneracy of the genetic code in two manners: having more than one tRNA (with a specific anti-codon) for a particular amino acid; and 'wobble' base-pairing, i.e. permitting non-standard base-pairing at the 3rd anti-codon position. The record is from Rfam by way of RNAcentral. Lineage: Eukaryota; Metazoa; Chordata; Mammalia; Artiodactyla; Bovidae.